Molecule: long non-coding RNA, 203 nt
Filed under: Elaeis guineensis (African oil palm)
Lineage: Eukaryota; Viridiplantae; Streptophyta; Magnoliopsida; Arecales; Arecaceae
Description: long non-coding RNA (EGUI_LNC001006)
Source: RNAcentral
CACCCAUCCUCACCUCCUCAAGCUGCAACGCCGUCGCCCGUAUUAGGUAUGUCCCUGAUAUCGUGCCGGCUUGAUGAGUCCUUUCCACUGCACCCAUAACCGGUGGCAACGGAUCUCCACCGUGGUAAUCCAUGGUUGAAGUCUGCAUGUCCAAGGGAUGGAUGGAAGAAGGAUUGUCACGCCCCGAACCCAACACCCGAAUC